GAGGGUAUAGCUCAGUGGUAGAGUAUGUGUUUAGCAUGCACGAGACCCUGGGUUCAAUCUUCAGUACCUUCA
This 72-nucleotide transfer RNA is filed under the name Camelus bactrianus (Bactrian camel). It matches the Rfam family "tRNA". From Rfam's summary of the family: Transfer RNA (tRNA) molecules are approximately 80 nucleotides in length. Their secondary structure includes four short double-helical elements and three loops (D, anti-codon, and T loops). RNAcentral also lists the same sequence under 3 other names. Lineage: Eukaryota; Metazoa; Chordata; Mammalia; Artiodactyla; Camelidae. The record is from Rfam by way of RNAcentral.